RNAcentral lists this ribosomal RNA (429 nucleotides) under Pseudomonadota bacterium. RNAcentral describes it as "Proteobacteria bacterium partial 16S ribosomal RNA". It matches the Rfam family "Bacterial small subunit ribosomal RNA", at positions 355 to 776 of the family's 1533-position model. The record is from RNAcentral. Lineage: Bacteria; Pseudomonadati; Pseudomonadota.
UGGGGAAUAUUGGACAAUGGGCGAAAGCCUGAUCCAGCCAUGCCGCGUAUGUGAAGAAGGUCUUCGGAUUGUAAAGCACUUUAAGUUGGGAGGAAGGGCAGUAAGCGAAUACCUUGCUGUUUUGACGUUACCGACAGAAUAAGCACCGGCUAACUCUGUGCCAGCAGCCGCGGUAAUACAGAGGGUGCAAGCGUUAAUCGGAAUUACUGGGCGUAAAGCGCGCGUAGGUGGUUCGUUAAGUUGAAUGUGAAAGCCCCGGGCUCAACCUGGGAACUGCAUCCAAAACUGGCGAGCUAGAGUAGGGCAGAGGGUGGUGGAAUUUCCUGUGUAGCGGUGAAAUGCGUAGAUAUAGGAAGGAACACAAGUGGCGAAGGCGACCACCUGGGCUCAUACUGACACUGAGGUGCGAAAGCGUGGGGAGCAAACAGG